GACGAACGCUGGCGGCGUGCUUAACACAUGCAAGUCGAACGGAAAGGCCCUGCUUUUGUGGGGUGCUCGAGUGGCGAACGGGUGAGUAACACGUGAGUAACCUGCCCUUGACUUUGGGAUAACUUCAGGAAACUGGGGCUAAUACCGGAUAGGAGCUCCUGCUGCAUGGUGGGGGUUGGAAAGUUUCGGCGGUUGGGGAUGGACUCGCGGCUUAUCAGCUUGUUGGUGGGGUAGUGGCUUACCAAGGCUUUGACGGGUAGCCGGCCUGAGAGGGUGACCGGCCACAUUGGGACUGAGAUACGUCCCAGACUCCUACGGGAGGCAGCAGUGGGGAAUAUUGCACAAUGGGCGGAAGCCUGAUGCAGCAACGCCGCGUGCGGGAUGACGGCCUUCGGGUUGUAAACCGCUUUCGCCUGUGACGAAGCGUGAGUGACGGUAAUGGGCAAAGAAGCACCGGCUAACUACGUG
Molecule: ribosomal RNA, 468 nt
Filed under: uncultured bacterium
Lineage: Bacteria
Description: partial 16S ribosomal RNA
Rfam family: Bacterial small subunit ribosomal RNA
Source: RNAcentral